UGGGGAAUCUUGGACAAUGGGCGCAAGCCUGAUCCAGCAAUGCCGCGUGCAGGAUGAAGGCCUUCGGGUUGUAAACUGCUUUUGUACGGAGCGAAAAGGUCUGCCCUAAUACGGUGGGCUCAUGACGGUACCGUAAGAAUAAGCACCGGCUAACUACGUGCCAGCAGCCGCGGUAAUACGUAGGGAGCGAGCGUUAAUCGGAAUUACUGGGCGUAAAGCGUGCGCAGGCGGUUAUAUAAGACAGAUGCGAAAUCCCCGGGCUCAAACUGGGACCUGCAUUGGGGACUGUAUAGCUAGAGUACGGUAGAGAGGGAUGGAAUUCCGCGUGUAGCAGUGAAAUGCGAAGAUAUGCGGAGGAACACCGAUGGCGAAGGCAAUCCCCUGGACCUGUACUGACGCUCAUGCACGAAAGCGUGGGGAGCAAACA
This 427-nucleotide ribosomal RNA is filed under the name uncultured bacterium. Its description in RNAcentral is "bacterial SSU rRNA". It matches the Rfam family "Bacterial small subunit ribosomal RNA", at positions 355 to 774 of the family's 1533-position model. The record is from RNAcentral.